This 331-nucleotide unclassified non-coding RNA is filed under the name soil metagenome. RNAcentral's name for it is "partial contains 5.8S ribosomal RNA, internal transcribed spacer 2, and large subunit ribosomal RNA". The stretch from base 1 to 120 matches the Rfam family "5.8S ribosomal RNA", at positions 35 to 154 of the family's 154-position model. The record is from RNAcentral.
GAUGAAGAACGUAGCGAAAUGCGAUAAGUAAUGUGAAUUGCAGAAUUCAGUGAAUCAUCGAAUCUUUGAACGCACAUUGCGCCCGCUAGUAUUCUGGCGGGCAUGCCUGUUCGAGCGUCAUUUCAACCAUCAAGCCCUGCUUGUGUUGGGGUCCUGCGGCUGCCCGCAGGCCCUGAAAACCAGUGGCGGGCUCGCUAGUCACACCGAGCGCAGUAGCACAUCUCGCUCAGGGCGUGCGGCGGGUUCUUGCCGUAAAACACCCCCUUUUUACCAAGGUUGACCUCGGAUCAGGUAGGAAUACCCGCUGAACUUAAGCAUAUCAAGCGGAUGA